This 434-nucleotide unclassified non-coding RNA is filed under the name soil metagenome. RNAcentral's name for it is "partial contains 5.8S ribosomal RNA, internal transcribed spacer 2, and large subunit ribosomal RNA". The stretch from base 1 to 120 matches the Rfam family "5.8S ribosomal RNA", at positions 35 to 154 of the family's 154-position model. The record is from RNAcentral.
GAUGAAGAACGUAGCGAAAUGCGAUACGUAAUGUGAAUUGCAGAAUUCAGUGAAUCAUCGAAUCUUUGAACGCAUAUUGCGCUCUUUGGUAUUCCGAAGAGCAUGCUUGUUUGAGUAUCAGUAAACACCUCAAAGCUUUUGGAUUUUUUAAUCGAAAAGCUUUGGACUUGAGCAAUCCCAACACUAAUCUUUUUGAGAUCGGUGGCGGGUUGCUUGAAAUGCAGGUGCAGCUGGACAUUCUCCUGAGCUAAAAGCAUAUUCAUUUAGUCCCGUCAAACGGAUUAUUACUUUUGCUGCAGCUAACAUAAAGGGAGUUUGACCGUAUUGGCUGACUGAUGCAGGAUUUCACAAGGGUCGGCAACGAUUCUUGUUAAACUCGAUCUCAAAUCAAGUAAGACUACCCGCUGAACUUAAGCAUAUCAAUAAGCGGAGGA